RNAcentral lists this transfer RNA (72 nucleotides) under Heterocephalus glaber (naked mole-rat). It matches the Rfam family "tRNA". Rfam says of the family: Transfer RNA (tRNA) molecules are approximately 80 nucleotides in length. Their secondary structure includes four short double-helical elements and three loops (D, anti-codon, and T loops). Further hydrogen bonds mediate the characteristic L-shaped molecular structure. tRNAs have two regions of fundamental functional importance: the anti-codon, which is responsible for specific mRNA codon recognition, and the 3' end, to which the tRNAs corresponding amino acid is attached (by aminoacyl-tRNA synthetases). tRNAs cope with the degeneracy of the genetic code in two manners: having more than one tRNA (with a specific anti-codon) for a particular amino acid; and 'wobble' base-pairing, i.e. permitting non-standard base-pairing at the 3rd anti-codon position. Lineage: Eukaryota; Metazoa; Chordata; Mammalia; Rodentia; Bathyergidae. The record is from Rfam by way of RNAcentral.
GGGAAUGUAGCUCAGUGGUAGAGCAUUUGCCUAGCAUGCCCAAGGUCCUGGGUUCUAACCUCAGCACUGCAA